Molecule: ribosomal RNA, 662 nt
Filed under: uncultured bacterium
Lineage: Bacteria
Description: bacterial SSU rRNA
Rfam family: Bacterial small subunit ribosomal RNA
Source: RNAcentral
UGCUCGGGGAGGAGAUUAUGUCCUAUUAGCUAGUUGGUGAGGUAACGGCUCACCAAGGCUGUGAUGGGUAGCUGGCCUGAGAGGGUGGUCAGCCACACUGGGACUGAGACACUGCCCAGACUCCUACGGGAGGCUGCAGUCGAGAAUCUUCCGCAAUGGGCGAAAGCCUGACGGAGCGACGCCGCGUGGAGGAUCGAAGGCCUUCGGGUUGUAAACUCCUUUCGAGCGGGGAAGAAUAACCUUGGGUGAACAGCCCCGGGUGUGACGGUACCCGCAGAAGAAGCUCCGGCUAACCCUGUGCCAGCAGCCGCGGUAAUACAGGGGGAGCGAACGUUACUCGGAAUCACUGGGCAUAAAGGGCGCGUAGGCGGUCCUGUAAGUCGGAUGUGAAAGACCUUGGCUCAACCAAGGAAUGGCAUCCGAUACUGUGGGGCUUGAGGCCAAGAGGGGCAAGCGGAACUCCUGGUGGAGCGGUGAAAUGCGUAGAUAUCAGGAGGAACACCGGUGGCGAAGGCGGCUUGCUGGAUUGGUCCUGACGCUGAGGCGCGAAAGCCAGGGGAGCAAACGGGAUUAGAUACCCCGGUAGUCCUGGCCGUAAACGAUGGGCACUGGGUAGUGGGGACUGACUAUGGUCUUCGCUGCCGUAGCUAAUGUGUUAAGUG